CCUGGUGGCAAUAGCGGACGGGUCCCACCCGAUUCCAUUCCGAACUCGGAAGUGAAAACGUCCAGCGCCGAUGGUAGUUCGGGGUCUCCCCGCGCGAGAGUAGGUCACCGCCAGGC
RNAcentral lists this ribosomal RNA (116 nucleotides) under Gammaproteobacteria bacterium. Lineage: Bacteria; Pseudomonadati; Pseudomonadota; Gammaproteobacteria. RNAcentral also lists the same sequence under 3 other names. The record is from RNAcentral.